ACGGUCUCACCUCGCUCCUCUUCACUUCCUCCCUCGGCUUCUCUGUUUUUUUUUUCUUUCUCUGUUUUCCCCCCCUUUUUUUUGUUCUUCUCCUUUUCUUUUUUCCAUUUCGAUAUUCCUUCUUCGUCGAGUUUGGAUUGGAUUAAUCCCCGACCCAAACCCUAAUAAUCGAUCUCCCUGACCCGGGACUACGGGCCGGGGAUCGAUCGCCAUGCAGCAGAGGAUGAAGCAGGCGGCGGCGGUAGCGGCGCAGCAGCAGCAGCAGCAGAUGAUGCAGCAGGCGCUGCUCAUGCACCACCAGCAGCAGCAGCAGCAGGCGGCGGCCGCAGUGCCGCCCAUGUUCCCGCCGCACCACGCGCACCCGGGUCUCCUUGCCGCGCCGCAUAUAGAGCCCAUCGUUAGUGGGAACCUGCCUCCUGGGUUUGAUUCAAGCACAUGCCGCAGUGUGUAUGUUGGCAACAUCCAUCUUCAAGUCACAGAUUCACUACUGCAUGAAGUUUUCCAGAGUAUUGGUCCAGUUGAAGGGUGUAAGCUCAUCAGGAAAGAAAAGUCAUCUUUUGGUUUUGUUGACUAUUAUGACCGUAGAUAUGCUGCACUUGCUAUCGUGUCACUCAACGGUAGACAACUGUUUGGCCAGCCAAUAAAAGUCAAUUGGGCAUACGCAAGUACCCAGAGAGAGGAUACAUCAGGUCAUUUUAACAUCUUCGUCGGGGAUCUUUGCCCGGAGGUUACGGAUGCUGCUUUGUUUGCUUUUUUCUCGGCAUAUUCUACCUCUUCAGAUGCUAGAGUUAUGUGGGAUCAGCAGACUGGACGAUCCAGAGGUUUUGGUUUCGUUUCUUUUAGGAAUCAGCAGGAUGCACAAACUGCCAUAAAUGAAUUGAAUGGAAAGUGGCUUGGCAACCGCCAAAUUCGUUGCAAUUGGGCAACGAAGGGCGCUAAUGCUGGUGAAGAGAAGCAAAGUACAGACUCCAAGGGUGUGGUGGAGUUGAUAAACGGCUCAUCAGAGCCUGGCAAGGAGAAUGCAAAUGAAGAUGGUCCUGAAAAUAACCCACAGUAUACAACUGUUUAUGUUGGCAAUCUUCCCCAUGAUAUCAACAGCAAUGAUGUGCAUCGAUUUUUCCAUUUACUCGGGGCUGGGUCAAUUGAGGAGGUCCGUGUAACACGCGAUAAAGGAUUUGGCUUUGUGAGAUAUAGUACCCAUGAAGAAGCUGCACAAGCAAUACAGACGGGUAAUGGCCAAUUUAUUGGCGGGAGGCAGAUCAAGUGCUCUUGGGGAAGCAAACCAACUCCACCAGGGACAGCAUCUGCGCCUCUGCCUCCUCCGGCAUUAGCGCCAUACACGCCUGGCGUGUCAGCAGUUGACCUCAUCUCCUACGAGCGAUCCCUUGCUCUGAGCAAGAUGGCUGCCAACCAGGCCCUGAUGGGUCAGCACGCCGCCCUGAGGCAGGCCGCGAUGGGUAUGGGCGCCGGCGCCAGCCAGGCCAUCUUUGACGGGGGCUUCCAGAGUGUCAACCCUCAGCAGCAGCAGCAGCAGCUCAUGUACUACUGAGUGUAUGAAGCAAGUAUGCUGGCGACGGAGGGGGCUACAACACCCUCCUUCCUAAUAUAUAUACAUAUAUGGUUGAUGAAGCCUCACCAGGGCCUUUUCUUUUGUUAUUACUAGUUCAACAUCGCAAUUAGUAAUUUACUAUCCUUCGCCGCUGUUAACGCUCCGGGUCGCCGGCUAUAUAUAGCACCAAUGUACUAGAACAUACGUAUCCCUGACGUGUUAAGAGUUGGGCAAUUCUUAUUUUUAUAACUACUCCCACCAAUCCAAAAUAAUUGUCGCAGUUUUGAUCUAAGGUUAGUUUAACCUUAAUUUAAAACUGCAACACUUAUUAUGGAUAGAGCUAACCUUAAUUCAAACUAAGGUUAGUUUAACCUUAAUUUAAAACUGCAACACUUAUUAUGGAUAGAGCUAACCUUAAUUCAAAAUUGUGACGCUUAUUUUGGAUUGAAGGGAGUAGCAUAUAUGAUCAUGCGUUGUAACAGGAGAAAAGAAUGUGUUGCAAUAGGAGAAAAGAAAAUGAUGUGCUCAGGU
This 2080-nucleotide ribosomal RNA is filed under the name Triticum aestivum (bread wheat). Its description in RNAcentral is "partial small subunit ribosomal RNA". Lineage: Eukaryota; Viridiplantae; Streptophyta; Magnoliopsida; Poales; Poaceae. The record is from RNAcentral.